AGCCCCGAGGUGUCAUCAUAUCGGAUUGCAAAUCCGAAGAAGCAGGCUAAUCCUUGCCGGGGCUU
Molecule: transfer RNA, 65 nt
Filed under: Carlhubbsia stuarti (barred livebearer)
Lineage: Eukaryota; Metazoa; Chordata; Actinopteri; Cyprinodontiformes; Poeciliidae
Description: tRNA-Cys
Source: RNAcentral